GACGAACGCUGGCGGCGUGCAUAACACAUGCAAGUCGAACGGAAAGGCCCUGCUUUUGUGGGGUGCUCGAGUGGCGAACGGGUGAGUAACACGUGAGUAACCUGCCCUUGACUUUGGGAUAACUUCAGGAAACUGGGGCUAAUACCGGAUAGGAGCUCCUGCUGCAUGGUGGGGGUUGGAAAGUUUCGGCGGUUGGGGAUGGACUCGCGGCUUAUCAGCUUGUUGGUGGGGUAGUGGCUUACCAAGGCUUUGACGGGUAGCCGGCCUGAGAGGGUGACCGGCCUCAUUGGGACUGAGAUACGGCCCAGACUCCUACGGGAGGCAGCAGUGGGGAAUAUUGCACAAUGGGCGGAAGCCUGAUGCAGCAACGCCGCGUGCGGGAUGACGGCCUUCGGGUUGUAAACCGCUUUCGCCUGUGACGAAGCGUGAGUGACGGUAAUGGGUAAAGAAGCACCGGCUAACUACGUG
Molecule: ribosomal RNA, 468 nt
Filed under: uncultured bacterium
Lineage: Bacteria
Description: partial 16S ribosomal RNA
Rfam family: Bacterial small subunit ribosomal RNA
Source: RNAcentral